This 395-nucleotide ribosomal RNA is filed under the name uncultured bacterium. RNAcentral describes it as "partial 16S ribosomal RNA". It matches the Rfam family "Bacterial small subunit ribosomal RNA", at positions 523 to 918 of the family's 1533-position model. The record is from RNAcentral.
AUACGUAGGGUGCAAGCGUUAAUCGGAAUUACUGGGCGUAAAGCGUGCGCAGGCGGUUUUUUAAGACAGAUGUGAAAUCCCCGGGCUUAACCUGGGAACUGCCUUUGUGACUGCAAGGCUAGAGUACGGCAGAGGGGGAUGGAAUUCCGCGUGUAGCCGUGAAAUGCGUAGAUAUGCGGAGGAACACCGGUGGCGAAGGCAAUCGCCUGGUGCUAUACUGGCGCUCAGGCGCGAAAGCGUGGGGAGCAAACAGGAUUAGAUACCCGGGUAGUCCACGCCCUAAACGAUGUCAACUGGUUUGGGGGUCUUCAGUGCCUCAGUAACGAAGCUAACGCGUGAAGUUGACCGCCUGGGGAGUACGGCCGCAAGGUUGAAACUCAAAGGAAUUGACGGGG